RNAcentral lists this ribosomal RNA (472 nucleotides) under uncultured bacterium. Its description in RNAcentral is "SSU rRNA". It matches the Rfam family "Bacterial small subunit ribosomal RNA", at positions 26 to 518 of the family's 1533-position model. The record is from RNAcentral.
AGGACGAACGCUGGCGGCGUGCUUAACACAUGCAAGUCGAGCGGAAAGGCCCUUCGGGGUACUCGAGCGGCGAACGGGUGAGUAACACGUGAGCAACCUGCCCUUAGCUUCGGGAUAGCUCCGGGAAACCGGAAUUAAUACCGAAUAUGACUUUGGCUGACAUCAGCAGAAGUGGAAAGUUUUUCGGCUAGGGAUGGACUCGCGGCCUAUCAGCUAGUUGGUGAGGUAACGGCCCACCAAGGCGACGACGGGUAGCCGGCCUGAGAGGGCGACCGGCCACACUGGGACUGAGACACGGCCCAGACUCCUACGGGAGGCAGCAGUGGGGAAUAUUGCGCAAUGGGCGAAAGCCUGACGCAGCGACGCCGCGUGGGGGAUGAAUGCCUUCGGUUGUAAACCCUUUCAGCAGGGACGAAGCGAAAGUGACGGUACCUGCAGAAGAAGCGCCGGCUAACUACGUGCCAGCAGCCGC